CAUAGCGACUAUCGUGGCAUAUCAAUAGCGGAGGAAAAGAAACUAACUAGGAUUCCCUCAGUAACGGCGAGUGAAGCGGGAAGAGCUCAAAUUUGAAAUCUUCAAGGUUCUACCUUGACGAAUUGUAGUUUAAAGAAGUGUUUUCUGUUGGAGUUUUGGUAAAAGUUCUCUGGAAUAGGACAUCAUAGAGGGUGAGAAUCCCGUAUUUGACCAUUAUUUCCAGCUGUGUGAUACACUUUCAAAGAGUCGGAUUGUUUGGGAAUGCAGUCCAAAAUGGGUGGUAAAUUUCAUCUAAAGCUAAAUAUUGGCGAGAGACCGAUAGCGAACAAGUACCGUGAGGGAAAGAUGAAAAGAACUUUGAAAAGAGAGUUAAACAGUACGUGAAAUUGUCAAAAGGGAAGCGUUUGACACCAGUGUUGUUUUCUCGAAAAUCAAUUAAAAAAUGGCCUGAUUUUGUGUUGUAUUGACCUUAUAGGCUUUCUGCACUCUUUUCAUUGUCUUUUUUAAUGCACUUUUCGUUUAACAAGUCAACAUCAAUUUCUUUUGUUGUAAAAGGGUCAUUGGAAGGUGGCUUUCUCUUCGGAGAAAGUGUUUAUAGCCUUUAAUCCUCUGCAAUCCGGAGAGACUGAGGUCUGCAGCGUAGACUCUUCGGGGUUAGAUACAUUUGUGCUAGGCUAUAGCCUUGUUAUAGACAACUUGUUGACUAUGAUUAGUCAUUGUAGCUUACUCGCUUAUGCUAUUUUACCUACGCUUAGGAUGUUGACGAGACUGUCGAUCU
This 778-nucleotide ribosomal RNA is filed under the name uncultured Neocallimastigales. RNAcentral's name for it is "partial large subunit ribosomal RNA". It matches the Rfam family "Eukaryotic large subunit ribosomal RNA", at positions 17 to 646 of the family's 3401-position model. Lineage: Eukaryota; Fungi; Neocallimastigomycota; Neocallimastigomycetes; Neocallimastigales. The record is from RNAcentral.